RNAcentral lists this ribosomal RNA (583 nucleotides) under Clavariadelphus lovejoyae. RNAcentral describes it as "eukaryotic LSU rRNA". It matches the Rfam family "Eukaryotic large subunit ribosomal RNA", at positions 90 to 656 of the family's 3401-position model. Lineage: Eukaryota; Fungi; Basidiomycota; Agaricomycetes; Gomphales; Clavariadelphaceae. The record is from RNAcentral.
CGAGUGAAGCGGGAAGAGCUCAAAUUUGUAAUCUGGCGGCCUCUGGCCGUCCGAGUUGUAGUCUGGAGAAGUGUUUUCUGUGCCGGACCGUGUACAAGUCCCUUGGAACAGGGCGUCAUAGAGGGUGAGAAUCCCGUCUCUGACACGGACUACCGGUGCUUUGUGAUGCGCUCUCGAAGAGUCGAGUUGUUUGGGAAUGCAGCUCAAAAUGGGUGGUAAAUUCCAUCUAAAGCUAAAUAUUGGCGAAAGACCGAUAGCGAACAAGUACCGUGAGGGAAAGAUGAAAAGCACUUUGGAAAGAGAGUUAAACAGUACGGAAAUUGUUGAAAGGGAAACGCUUGAAGUCAGUCGCGUCUGGUGGGACUCAGCCUUACUUCUGUAUGGUGCAUUUCCUAUUUGACGGGCCAGCAUCGAUUUCGGUCACUGGAGAAAGGUGGGGGGAACGUGGCACCCUCGGGUGUGUUAUAGCCCUCUAUCGUAUGCAGUGAUUGGGAUCGAGGAUCGCAGCACGCCUUAACGGUCGGGGUUCGCCCACGUAACGUGCUUAGGAUGCUGGCGUAAUGGCUUUAAGCGACCCGCCUUG